This 72-nucleotide transfer RNA is filed under the name Paenibacillus macquariensis. RNAcentral describes it as "tRNA_Gly_TCC". It matches the Rfam family "tRNA". Rfam says of the family: Transfer RNA (tRNA) molecules are approximately 80 nucleotides in length. Their secondary structure includes four short double-helical elements and three loops (D, anti-codon, and T loops). Lineage: Bacteria; Bacillati; Bacillota; Bacilli; Caryophanales; Paenibacillaceae. The record is from RNAcentral.
GUGAUAGUAUUUGAAAUACACAAAUAUCAGCCUUCCAAGCUGAUAGCGUGGGUUCGAUUCCCAUCACCCGCU